AUGGACGCCGAGGGCUGGUACUCUGCCACUCUGGAGGCCAUCGCCACCGUGCAGUACACCUGCUCAGUGCCUGUCGGUCUCGUCGUCGACACGUUUGCCAGGGUCGGUGGCAAUUCCAUCCAGUUUGCUGCCAGGGGCUGCUACGUGGUCACGGUGGAGAUCGAUCCCUGGAAGGUGGAUCUGGUGAGGCACAAUGCCAGAAUCUAUGGCCUGGAGCAUUUGAUCGAGUUCGUUGUCGGCGAUUUCUUCCACCUCGCGCCUUACUUGAAGCAGGAUUUGGUGUUCCUUUCACCACCAUGGAGAGGGCCAUUAUACAAUAAGACUCCAAUGUACACCCUCGAUAUGCUGCUGCCAAAAGAUGUGCUUGCAAUAUUUCAGGCUGCUCAGAAGAUGGCCCCUAAUAUCAUCAUGUUCUUGCCACGGAAUGUGGACAUAGGCCAAGUAGAGGAACUUUCGUGGUUGUCUUCUCCUCCAUUAGAUUUUGAGAGUGAAGAGAGCUAUGAACAGCAGAGAUUCAAAGGAAUUACUGCCUACUCCCUCCGUCCCAAAAUAAGUGUCUCAGCUUUAUACUAA
RNAcentral lists this ribosomal RNA (573 nucleotides) under Triticum aestivum (bread wheat). RNAcentral describes it as "partial small subunit ribosomal RNA". The record is from RNAcentral. Lineage: Eukaryota; Viridiplantae; Streptophyta; Magnoliopsida; Poales; Poaceae.